This 390-nucleotide ribosomal RNA is filed under the name Herpestes ichneumon (Egyptian mongoose). Its description in RNAcentral is "partial 12S ribosomal RNA". It matches the Rfam family "Bacterial small subunit ribosomal RNA", at positions 796 to 1384 of the family's 1533-position model. Lineage: Eukaryota; Metazoa; Chordata; Mammalia; Carnivora; Herpestidae. The record is from RNAcentral.
UUAGCCCUAAAUCUAGAUAGAUAACUCAACAAAUCUAUCCGCCAGAGAACUACUAGCAACAGCUUAAAACUCAAAGGACUUGGCGGUGCUUCACAUCCCUCUAGAGGAGCCUGUUCUAUAAUCGAUAAACCCCGAUAAACCUUACCACCUCUUGCUAAUACAGUCUAUAUACCGCCAUCUUCAGCAAACCCUCAAAAGGAAUAACAGUAAGCAAAAGCAUCUUAACAUAAAAAAGUUAGGUCAAGGUGUAGCCUAUGAGGUGGGAAGCAAUGGGCUACAUUUCCUACACAAGGACACUUCACGAAAGUUUUUAUGAAACCAAAGACUAAAGGAGGAUUUAGCAGUAAGCCAAGAAUAGAGUGCUUAGCUGAAUCGGGCCAUGAAGCACGC